Molecule: antisense RNA, 151 nt
Filed under: Pseudocitrobacter faecalis
Lineage: Bacteria; Pseudomonadati; Pseudomonadota; Gammaproteobacteria; Enterobacterales; Enterobacteriaceae
Description: sok antitoxin
Rfam family: sok antitoxin (CssrC)
About the family: Also identified in Shigella as CssrC.
Source: RNAcentral
GGGUGCUUGAGGCUAUCUGUCUCAGGCAUUUGCAGGACGGCAGAUAGAGAAAAGCCCCGAGUGAUUUUUCAAUCAACCCGAGGCUUACUAUAUGCCACACACAUAUAGACUGCCUCUUACAGACCGAAAGGUCAAGGAGAAGAGAGCCAUG